RNAcentral lists this ribosomal RNA (495 nucleotides) under uncultured bacterium. Its description in RNAcentral is "partial 16S ribosomal RNA". It matches the Rfam family "Bacterial small subunit ribosomal RNA", at positions 28 to 523 of the family's 1533-position model. The record is from RNAcentral.
GAUGAACGCUAGCGGCAGGCCUAACACAUGCAAGUCGAGCGCGAAAGUCUUCGGAUGAGUAGAGCGGCGGACGGGUGAGUAACGCGUAGGAAUCUACCUGGUAGUGGGGGAUAACUCGGGGAAACUCGAGCUAAUACCGCAUACGUCCUGAGGGGGAAAGCGGGGGAUCGCAAGACCUCGUGCUAUCAGAUGAGCCUGCGUAGGAUUAGCUAGUUGGUAGGGUAAAGGCCUACCAAGGCGACGAUCCUUAGCUGGUCUGAGAGGAUGAUCAGCCACACUGGGACUGAGACACGGCCCCGACUCCUACGGGAGGCAGCAGUGGGGAAUAUUGGACAAUGGGCGAAAGCCUGAUCCAGCCAUGCCGCGUGUGUGAAGAAGGUCUUCGGAUUGUAAAGCACUUUAAGUUGGGAGGAAGGGUCGUUACCUAAUACGUGACGAUUUUGACGUUACCGACAGAAUAAGCACCGGCUAACUCUGUGCCAGCCGCCGCCGUAA